Molecule: ribosomal RNA, 214 nt
Filed under: uncultured bacterium
Lineage: Bacteria
Description: partial 16S ribosomal RNA
Rfam family: Bacterial small subunit ribosomal RNA
Source: RNAcentral
UACGAAGGGGCUAGCGUUGUUCGGAAUUACUGGGCGUAAAGCGCACGUAGGCGGAUAUUUAAGUCAGGGGUGAAAUCCCGGGGCUCAACCCCGGAACUGCCUUUGAUACUGGGUAUCUAGAGUCCAGAAGAGGUGAGUGGAAUUCCGAGUGUAGAGGUGAAAUUCGUAGAUAUUCGGAGGAACACCAGUGGCGAAGGACGGCUGCAUCAUGGUG